AGAACAUUCCUGCCACUUCAGUUCAACAGCCAUCUGAAGCCCACCUGUGAGCUGGUCCAGGAAAUGAUGGACUCUGAUUUCCACACCCCUUUCCUGUGAACUUGUCUCCAAUUUAGUCUGUCAAGGUCCCUUUCUUGUGAGUUAAUUUCUCCCUAGUGCUACUUCUCAGAUUGGCCAGUGACUCACAGAGUGGCACAAGUACAAAUCCAGCCUGCCUUGCAUCCAACACAGAUUCCAGGACCACUGAAACCAGCUGAGGCAUCCUGAAAGCCUAAGAUUGACCACACCAGAGGAACCAGACUGCCCUUCACAAGGGGAAGACUCCUGAACUUGCCUCACCCAAAGAUAUGAUGUACGCUUCAGACAAUGCUGGACUGAUGUGUUCAAUUAAACAAAUGCACCAAUAAAAUGCUGCAUGUAAAAAGAGUAAA
Homo sapiens (human) is the source of this 431-nucleotide long non-coding RNA. Ensembl annotates it as long intergenic non-protein coding RNA 305. Lineage: Eukaryota; Metazoa; Chordata; Mammalia; Primates; Hominidae. The record is from Ensembl.